GCAAGGUCAAAGACAAGUUGUGCUGUUUGCAGAAACGCGAAGAAAAGUAUGGAAAACAUAUUUAUUUAGGGGGAUUUGGUUACUCUUGCGUUUCGUUUGCUAAUAAACGAACAUGAUGCCUCAGUUAUCCAAAGAAAACAAAAGGCCUACCCAUGAUGACAUCAUAUUACUGAGAGAGGUCAUAGCAAAUGAUCCAUGUGCUUCUCAUGAGCCUGGAAAGAAGUGGGAUGCAAUUGCAUUUGCAACAGGACUUGAGGGGCCUUACGAGCCGACGUUGCAGGGAAAGAACAUCGCUUCUACUGGCCUGUUAUGAGAAAGAAGACACGGAUGCGCUGAAGAGAUCUGGCACCGAAGAGGAGGUAGAGAACCACCAGCUCCUUCAGGAAAUUAAAGACCUUCAUAUGGAGCAGGUGACGAGACUAGGAAAUGAAAACAAGAAAAAAGAGCAACAAAGGCAAAUUGGAGUGGAAACC
Molecule: long non-coding RNA, 473 nt
Organism: Acanthaster planci (crown-of-thorns starfish)
Lineage: Eukaryota; Metazoa; Echinodermata; Asteroidea; Valvatida; Acanthasteridae
Source: RefSeq, a predicted model, not a curated record